UACGUAGGUGGCGAGCGUUGUCCGGAUUUACCGGGCGUAAAGGAUGCGUAGGCGGAUAUUUAAGUGAGAUGUGAAAUACCCGAGCUUAACUUGGGUGCUGCAUUUCAAACUGGAUAUCUAGAGUGUGGGAGAGGAGAAUGGAAUUCCUAGUGUAGCGGUGAAAUGCGUAGAGAUUAGGAAGAACACCAGUGGCGAAGGCGAUUCUCUGGACCAUAACUGACGCUGAGGCAUGAAAGCGUGGGUAGCAAACAGG
RNAcentral lists this ribosomal RNA (253 nucleotides) under uncultured bacterium. RNAcentral describes it as "partial 16S ribosomal RNA". It matches the Rfam family "Bacterial small subunit ribosomal RNA", at positions 524 to 776 of the family's 1533-position model. The record is from RNAcentral.